Capsella rubella is the source of this 3015-nucleotide long non-coding RNA. RefSeq lists it as uncharacterized. Lineage: Eukaryota; Viridiplantae; Streptophyta; Magnoliopsida; Brassicales; Brassicaceae. The record is from RefSeq and is a predicted model, not a curated record. The transcript is spliced from 23 exons.
AAGCACCAACUUUGCCUGCACCACACCUACUAGAAUUUCCAGGAAUUUCAUCUUCAAACAAUGACAAGGGCUAAACAUCUUCACUAGCUUCAACUUAAGUCUCUAAUAAGGACUGAGCGUUGAGUACUAGAGAAUCGUUUUUUGUUGUUGGCGUUUCAUCGAUUUGAGAUUCAUUUAAAGUUGUCUGAUGAUGAAUCCAUCUGCACUUUGGCCAAAAAAUCAGUUACAGUUAUCUCAAGCCAAAGAACAUCAUCAGAGAAGUGUGAAAAGGGGAACUAGUGUUACAAACAUAGAUGGUCCAAUCAUGACCCAACGAUAGAAAAGAAAUUCCUCUUCUGCUUUGGAAACGAGUAUUGGUCUGACCUGCUUCGAGGUUCUUCGUUUGAAUUCACCCACAACAAUGGCUUGAACAAAUGCUCGACUACAAUUUAGGCACCGGUGGAAGCUUAGUUGUGGUCUCUCCGUGGUUGAUAGCUAGUUAGCUACAAGCUCUUGAAGCAAGCCAAGACUUGACCGAGUACAUAUAAUUUCCUUUUGUGUGCUCUCAGGUGGUGCAUUGAAUGGCUUCAAGGUUCUUUUCUCGUGCUUGAUGACCUCAUGGACUACUCUGUCACAGACUCACACAGCCUCGUGGGUUCAGACAGCCAAAGGUUGGUAUCUUAUUGCUAUUAACAAUGGAUUCUACUUGGUAAUCGUAUCCACAAGAUUCUCAAAAACCACUUCAGGGGAAUACCUUGCUACGUUGACCUUGUUGAUAUGUUUAAUGAGGUACAGUUUCAAACAGCCUGUGGCCGGAUAAUUAAUUUGAUCAGUAGCUUUAGAUGGAGAAAAAUAUUUUGUCCAAGUACUCCUUCAUAUGUGAAGAAUGUUCUUGUUGACAUGGGAAUUUACUUCCAAGUACAGGUAAUUAGUUACUAAUACAUGAGAGUUCAUAUUAUGAGCUCGUUUGAAGAUCCACAAGAGCAAUACACCGCAUCUGCUAUUUCAGGAACUUAGCCUUUAAACAAUGGCAAGGGAUAGACCAGCAUGCAUAGACAUCUUCAUAGAUUCAACAAUAAUUAUUGGAGGUAAAGAGCCAUGUUUUCCCAAUUGCAGCCUUCUAAGGCCAAGAAAGAAGUAGUUCUCAUUUAAACAAGUUACUGUUGUCUCAAGCAAAAGGCUGUAGUAAGAGAAGUGUUAGAAGGGAAGUUUUCCUAGAAUUGUGAACGAAGGUGUAACUUGAGGACGAAAUGUUCGCAAAGAUUCCAAAAGUUAUUAGCUCGAACUAUGAACAAGAAGACCAUUGAUGGAGAACUAGAUAUGAUGAUGAUCCCUGCACUGGAAAAAAAAGUCAUCUUCUUCACCAAUCACCAUCUCUUGUUCUUUUGCAAGUGAGGAUGGGAGACAAGGAGGACCUUGUUGGUUUCCAUGUCGUAUUUCUCUUUUACAACUCUCAUCUUAUUAUUAUUAACUUUGACUGAUUGAUUAUAGUGAUUGAUGGUUUUUUAUUUUUUUAUUUCAUGUGUUGAUGUAUCGUUUCACUGACUGCAGGGAAAUGAGUGUUACGAACAUUGCUAGCUACUAGCUCUACCAAUCUGAUUCACUGAGUAUAAAGCCAAUCACAGGGUAAAAGCUAGAUGAUCCCAUUAUAUGAGCCAACCAUGGAGUAAUCCUUACUUUGCUCUCUAACAAUUCUGAGGAUAUAGAGAUCUACAAUCAGACCGCAUAUGCCAGUAAUCUUGGGAAUGUGGAUGUUGGAGAAGAUAUAAAGCAAGGAGAACACAAACCAGCUCUACAGUUUUCUUAGGGAGAAAAGUGUAUGGACAAGAAAAAGCAUCAAAUUGCUACAAAGAUAGCUUGAGCCAAAAUCAGCAUUUAGAAAAAGGGAACGAGUGUUAAAUUCAUGCCAUCAGAAAGCAAAAACUAGAUGUUGGAAAAUCAAGACAGAUACUCAAUCCAAAACCAGCAACUCUACUCCACAAGACAAGACAAGGUCUUUUUAACACCCAAGUUUCCCAUGUGUAAAGCUAGACCUGUGAAAGAACAUAGAGUAGGAAGAUCUCGAGAGCUCCAGCUUUGCCUGAACCACAAAGAAGUACACCAAAUCUGCUAACAGUGGCAAGGGCUAACCAGCAUGGAUAAACAUCUUUACUAGCUUCAACAAUAAUGAUUCGAGUCCUCACUUUACUGAACAAAGGAGCCUUGUAGCCCUGUGUUCCAAAAAACACUACUCCAGAACUUGAGUAAGAGCAACUCAAGAAGUCACCAAAUUUUAAGCAAAAACUUUGAACCAAAAGGUCUGAGUAGUGAGUGAUGAAUUAAGAUAUGAGCAUAAAGAAUUUUUUUUUAUUUUUUUUUGGAGUUUGAUUCAAAGUUGUCUGAAUGAAUCCAUCUGUACUUUGGCCAGAAAACUAGUCACAGUUAUGUCAAGCCAAAGGCAAUCAUCAAAAAAGUGUGAAAAGGGAGACGAUUAUUGCUCUGACCUGCUUCAAGAUCCUUCGUUUGAAUUCCAAAUAUUUGAUCAUUCGUUUAUGCUGAUUUGAUGCCUUCUCUUUGCAGAUGUACGUGGCGGUGAUAGGAGCCUCUCUCUGAAAUUCACAUCAAGCACUUGUGUGUUCGGUUUUGUUCUGCAGGGUAAUCGUGGUCUCUCCGUGUUGAUAGCUACAAGCUAUUGGAAGCAAGGCCACGACUUGACCGAUAAAGAGACUUUUCUUUAAUGUGUUCUCAGCUUCUAGCUUAUUUUCUUGUGCUUGAUGACAUCAUGGACAACUCUGUCACACACUGUGGUCAGCCUUGUUGAUUCAGACAGCCAAAGUAAACAAGGAGAGCUUCCCUUGUUCUCGGGGAUGCGGACGCCUGAGAACAUAGAAAACAAAGAGAGCAUCCAUGACCUUAUAUCAUAAGAGUUAAUUACUUAAUAAGGACUUUUCUCAAUGGCAUUUUUGUUUUUGCCAUUUUAUGUUAAAUCUUUUAGAUUUGUCACUUUUAUAGAUCUAAAAACACAACUAAAAAAAAAAAAUCACACAUUUUAACAAA